CAAGUCGUGGGGCAGCAUGGGGUAGCAAUACUCUGAUGGCGACCGGCAAACGGGUGAGGAACAUGUACGCAACCUUCCUUUAACUGGAGAAUAGCCCCUCGAAAGAGGGAUUAAUACUCCGUAACAUAAUGAAGUGACAUCACUUUAUUAUUAUAGCUCCGGCGGUUAAAGAUGGGCGUGCACCUGAUUAGAUAGUUGGCGGGGUAACGGCCCACCAAGUCUGCGAUCAGUAACUGGUGUGAGAGCACGACCAGUCACACGGGCACUGAGACACGGGUCCGACUCCUACGGGAGGCAGCAGUAAGGAAUAUUGGUCAAUGGACGCAAGUCUGAACCAGCCAUGCCGCGUGGAGGAUUAAGGCCCUCUGGGUUGUAAACUCCUUUUAUCUGGGAAGAAAUGUACUUUUUCUUGAGUACUUGACGGUACCAGAGGAAUAAGCACCGGCUAACUCCGUGCCAGCAGCCGCGGUAAUACGGAGGGUGCAAGCGUUAUCCGGAUUCACUGGGUUUAAAGGGUGCGUAGGUGGGCAGGAAAGUCAGUGGUGAAAUCUCCGGGCUUAACCCGGAAACUGCCGUUGAUACUAUUUGUCUUGAAUAUUGUGGAGGUAAGCGGAAUAUGUCAUGUAGCGGUGAAAUGCUUAGAUAUGACAUAGAACACCAAUUGCGAAGGCAGCUUACUACACAACGAUUGACACUGAGGCACGAAAGCGUGGGGAUCAAACAGGAUUAGAUACCCUGGUAGUCCACGCCCUAAACGAUGAUUACUCGACAUACGCGAUACACUGUGUGUGUCUGAGCGAAAGCAUUAAGUAAUCCACCUGGGAAGUACGUUCGCAAGAAUGAAACUCAAAGGA
RNAcentral lists this ribosomal RNA (854 nucleotides) under uncultured Flavobacteriia bacterium. RNAcentral describes it as "bacterial SSU rRNA". It matches the Rfam family "Bacterial small subunit ribosomal RNA", at positions 58 to 908 of the family's 1533-position model. Lineage: Bacteria; Pseudomonadati; Bacteroidota; Flavobacteriia. The record is from RNAcentral.